CGGCGGCGCGGCACCCCUUAACGGGGGCGCCGCAGCCCUGCCUCUCCGGAGGUUCGGGGCGCCCGCCGGAGGUACGAAACUCUGUAUUAUAGUGGCAUCUCUGAGUAUAAAACAAAUAAGUUAAAACUUUCAACAACGGAUCUCUUGGUUCUGGCAUCGAUGAAGAACGCAGCGAAAUGCGAUAAGUAAUGUGAAUUGCAGAAUUCAGUGAAUCAUCGAAUCUUUGAACGCACAUUGCGCCCGGUAGUACUCUACCGGGCAUGCCUGUUCGAGCGUCAUUUCAACCCUCAAGCCCUGCUUGGUGUUGGGGCCCUACGGCUGCCGUAGGCCCUGAAAGGAAGUGGCGGGCUCGCUACAACUCCGAGCGUAGUAAUUCAUUAUCUCGCUAGGGAGGUUGCGGCGUGCUCCUGCCGUUAAAGACCCAUCUUUAACCAAGGUUGACCUCGGAUCAGGUAGGAAUACCCGCUGAACUUAAGCAUAUCAAUAAGCGGAGGAAAAGAAACCAACAGGGAUUGCCCUAGUAACGGCGAGUGAAGCGGCAACAGCUCAAAUUUGAAAUCUGGCUUCGGCCCGAGUUGUAAUUUGUAGAGGAUGCUUUUGGUGAGGUGCCUUCUGAGUUCCCUGGAACGGGACGCCAGAGAGGGUGAGAGCCCCGUAUAGUCGGCCGCCGAUCCUUUGUAAAGCUCCUUCGACGAGUCGAGUAGUUUGGGAAUGCUGCUCAAAAUGGGAGGUAUAUCUCUUCUAAAGCUAAAUAUAGGCCAGAGACCGAUAGCGCACAAGUAGAGUGAUCGAAAGAUGAAAAGCACUUUGAAAAGAGGGUUAAAUAGCACGUGAAAUUGUUGAAAGGGAAGCGCUUGUGACCAGACUUGUGCCGGGCUGAUCAUCCAGUGUUCUCACUGGUGCACUCGACCCGGCUCAGGCCAGCGUCGGUUUUCGUGGGGGGAUAAAAGCUUCGGGAACGUGGCACCUUCGGGUGUGUUAUAGCCCGUUGCUUAAUACCUCCGUGGAGACCGAGGU
RNAcentral lists this ribosomal RNA (1017 nucleotides) under Sordariomycetes sp. genotype 7. RNAcentral's name for it is "eukaryotic LSU rRNA". The stretch from base 439 to 1017 matches the Rfam family "Eukaryotic large subunit ribosomal RNA", at positions 1 to 592 of the family's 3401-position model. Lineage: Eukaryota; Fungi; Ascomycota; Sordariomycetes. The record is from RNAcentral.